UACGAGGGGUGCAAGCGUUGCUCGGAAUUAUUGGGCGUAAAGGGUAGGUAGGUGGUCUCAUUUGUCUGGGGUGAAAGCCUCGAGCUUAACUCGAGAAGUGCCUCGGAAACGGUGAGACUAGAGUCUUGGAGAGGGUCGUGGAAUUCCCGGUGUAGCGGUGAAAUGCGUAGAGAUCGGGAGGAACACCAGCGGCGAAGGCGGCGACCUGGACAAGUACUGACGCUGAGACGCGAAAGCGUGGGGAGCAAACAGG
Molecule: ribosomal RNA, 253 nt
Filed under: uncultured bacterium
Lineage: Bacteria
Description: partial 16S ribosomal RNA
Rfam family: Bacterial small subunit ribosomal RNA
Source: RNAcentral